Molecule: long non-coding RNA, 236 nt
Filed under: Setaria italica (foxtail millet)
Lineage: Eukaryota; Viridiplantae; Streptophyta; Magnoliopsida; Poales; Poaceae
Description: long non-coding RNA (SITA_LNC001283)
Source: RNAcentral
GGCACGCGAGUUGCCCUUUAGUCUGCUCUUCUCAAAUCAGAAUCCGUUCAUCCGUCCAGCAACAAGAACUACACUACUCACGAGUUCUUUCAAGGAACAGAGCUCGCGGGCGGCAGUAGUAGACAGCCGUGGUCUUAGCUGAAGAUUCAAGGAGGGAGAUAAGGCGGCAGCAACAGAGGCAGUGAUUGGUAAGCUGCAUGCACCCCUAGCCAGGCUUACGUAGUAGUGCAGUCGAG